AAUUAUGGCGGCUGUGCGUGGGAGACCUUCGGGUCUGCCGGUUUUCGAAUGUCCCGGUUCGCCAAUCCGCGCAUAGCUGCCACCCUU
Molecule: non-coding RNA, 87 nt
Filed under: Pseudomonas moraviensis
Lineage: Bacteria; Pseudomonadati; Pseudomonadota; Gammaproteobacteria; Pseudomonadales; Pseudomonadaceae
Source: RNAcentral